Molecule: ribosomal RNA, 582 nt
Filed under: uncultured Chitinophaga sp.
Lineage: Bacteria; Pseudomonadati; Bacteroidota; Chitinophagia; Chitinophagales; Chitinophagaceae
Description: bacterial SSU rRNA
Rfam family: Bacterial small subunit ribosomal RNA
Source: RNAcentral
ACGGGUGCGGAACACGUACGCAACCUUCCUUCAAGCGGGGAAUAGCCCAGAGAAAUUUGGAUUAAUACCCCAUAAGAAUGUGACCUGGCAUCAGGUAGCAUUUAAAGAUUCAUCACUUGAAGAUGGGCGUGCGUCUGAUUAGGUAGUUGGUGAGGUAACGGCUCACCAAGCCGACGAUCAGUAACUGGCGUGAGAGCGCGACCAGUCACACGGGCACUGAGACACGGGCCCGACUCCUACGGGAGGCAGCAGUAAGGAAUAUUGGUCAAUGGACGCAAGUCUGAACCAGCCAUGCCGCGUGGAGGAUGAAGGCCCUCUGGGUUGUAAACUUCUUUUAUUUGGGACGAAACACUUCAUUUCUAUGGAGCUUGACGGUACCAGAUGAAUAAGCACCGGCUAACUCCGUGCCAGCAGCCGCGGUAAUACGGAGGGUGUAAGCGUUAUCCGGAUUCACUGGGUUUAAAGGGUGCGUAGGCGGACCUGUAAGUCCGUGGUGAAAUCUCCAAGCUUAACUUGGAAACUGCCAUGGAUACUAUAUGUCUUGAAUGUUGUGGAGGUUAGCGGAAUAUGUCAUGUAGCGGU